Molecule: ribosomal RNA, 619 nt
Filed under: uncultured bacterium
Lineage: Bacteria
Description: bacterial SSU rRNA
Rfam family: Bacterial small subunit ribosomal RNA (bases 1-522)
Source: RNAcentral
CCUACGGGAGGCAGCAGUGGGGAAUAUUGGGCAAUGGAGGAAACUCUGACCCAGCGACGCCGCGUGCGGGAUGAAGGCCUUCGGGUUGUAAACCGCUUUCAGUAGGGAAGAAGCGAAAGUGACGGUACCUACAGAAGAAGCACCGGCUAACUAUGUGCCAGCAGCCGCGGUAAUACAUAGGGUGCAAGCGUUGUCCGGAAUUAUUGGGCGUAAAGAGCUCGUAGGUGGUUCGUCACGUCGGAUGUGAAAAUCUGGGGCUCAACCCCAGACCUGCAUUCGAUACGGGCGAUCUAGAGUGUGGUAGGGGAGACUGGAAUUCCUGGUGUAGCGGUGGAAUGCGCAGAUAUCAGGAGGAACACCAAUGGCGAAGGCAGGUCUCUGGGCCAUUACUGACACUGAGGAGCGAAAGCGUGGGGAGCGAACAGGAUUAGAUACCCUGGUAGUCCACGCCGUAAACGGUGGGCACUAGUUGUGGGAACCUUCCACGGUUUCUGCGACGCAGCUACGCAUAAGUAGCCCGCCGUCGGGAGGUACGAAGUCGCGAAGAAGUUAAACGUAACGUAAAGGUAAAGUUAGUUACGGCGUGAGACGUGCCGACGGACGACGACGAGGGAGGAGG